AAAAAAGAAAAGUAGCCCUUCGGGGUAACCUCCCACCCUUUGUUUAUUUAUACCUUUGUUGCUUUGGCAGACCCGGCUUCGGGCCACCGGCUCCGGCUGGUCAGUGUCUGCCAGAGGACCUAAAACUCUGUUUGUUAAUAUUGUCAUGAGUACUAUAUAAUAGUUAAAACUUUCAACAACGGAUCUCUUGGUUCUGGCAUCGAUGAAGAACGCAGCAAAAUGCGAUAAGUAAUGUGAAUUGCAUAAUUCAGUGAAUCAUCGAAUCUUUGAACGCACAUUGCGCCCUCUGGUAUUCCGGGGGGCAUGCCUGUUCGAGCGUCGUUACAACCCUCAAGCUUUGCUUGGGAUUGGACAUUGCCAGUUUCUGGCAGGUCUUAAAAUCAGAGGCGGUGCCAUUUGGCUUCCAGCGUAGUAAUUCUUCUCGCUUUGGAGAUCCAAGUGGUUACUUGCCAGUAACCCCCAAUUUUUUCAGGUUGACCUCGGAUCAGGUAGGGAUACCCGCUGAACUUAAG
This 512-nucleotide ribosomal RNA is filed under the name Thelebolus microsporus. Its description in RNAcentral is "partial 18S ribosomal RNA". The stretch from base 168 to 321 matches the Rfam family "5.8S ribosomal RNA". Lineage: Eukaryota; Fungi; Ascomycota; Leotiomycetes; Thelebolales; Thelebolaceae. The record is from RNAcentral.